Molecule: long non-coding RNA, 18402 nt
Filed under: Populus tremula
Lineage: Eukaryota; Viridiplantae; Streptophyta; Magnoliopsida; Malpighiales; Salicaceae
Description: long non-coding RNA (PTRE_LNC001704)
Source: RNAcentral
GCCUACAAACUUAUGCUGAAGGUGAAGCUGGACGUGGAGGAACAGAUACAUCGGUAAUUCCUUCUAACAUCAACACAACAGACUUCAUAGAAGGACGGAUACCUGGUUCAUCUUGAAUACACCAAAUGCCCACCAUAACCAUUUUCUCCAAAUUCUGCAAGUCUACAUCUUCACCAAGAUCUAGCUUGUCCAAUUCUCUUUCAACCAAAAGCUCGUAUGCCCAAUUAGAAAGUUGAAUUUCCUCUACUCUUGAUACAUUAGUUUCUAUAUUUCUCCUGCAGAAAACAAUUUCCAAGAGCAUAACUCCGUAACUGUAAACAUCUGCCCUGACUGAUAUUGGAGUGUUCUUCUGCCAUUCAGGAGCCAAGUAACCUCGAUCGUGUCCCUCUGACUAUCGUAAAGGUUCUUGUUUGAUCAGGCAGUAGCAAUUUUGCUAGCCCGAAAUCAGAGAUCUUAGCAUUCCAAAAAUCAUCCAUUAGAAUGUUUUGAGGCUUUAUAUCGCAAUGGAUGAUUGGUGCUUCACACUCUUCGUGUAGAUAUAGGAUCCCUCUAGCAAUAUCUAAAGCAAUUUUCACUCUGUGACUCCAAUCUGGGAUCCUUUCAGUUCGGAAGAGAAGAUCUGCAAGGGAACCGUUGCUCAUGUAUUCGUAUACUAGGAGUCUCUGGGAGUCCUCAGUACAGUAACCAAGCAGCCGAACCAAGUUCUUAUGAUGAGUUUUUCCAAUCGAACGCAUCUCUGUGAGGAACUCCCUUUCACCUUCACUGACCAACUUUUCUAGCCUCUUCACUGCAAUAACUUUUUUACCUUUGUAUAAUGUCCCUUUGUAAACUGCUCCAAAAGAUCCUUUUCCCAACUCUUCCCUGAAACCCUUGGUUGCAUUUUCAAGCUCCGAUAUGAAAAUGCUCUCAGAGUGAGCUCAUGGGCCAAGCCAAGAUUUCCGCCUCCCAACCGCAUUCUGGCCUUAACAACUCUUGACUUAGAGAUGAAAAAAACAGAAACUGCAAUGGCAAUUGAAGAGCAUGUAAUGAAUGCUACGCUCAUAACACAAAUGAGCAUCACUGUCUUCUUGCUUGUCUUAUGGACCACUGGAGGCUUCGUUGCAGUGGCAAUGGAUCGGUUGCGGCUUUCGACACUCUUCAAACCCACCUUGAAGAAAACCUUUGAUGAGUCACCUUCCAAUCUCUUAGCAUGUUUCACUGGGAACUUCACUUUCUUGCAGUCCCCAGAUUCGUACAGCGCACCAGCACAGUUACAGUCCUGCAAACAGGACUUUCUGCAAUCUUCUUCUGACAUGGAGUUUUUAAAAUAAGGAAAGUCAUCCACAGUCAUUUUCUCCAUAUCAGUAAUGCUAUACGAGGAUGUUUCCUCUGCAACUUUGCAUAAUUCUUCAGUGUAGUUUCUCUUACACCCAUUAUAUCUCUGGUUGGGAUUGACAAAAACAGUGCCAGGAAGACAGCUGCAGUAAGGUUGAUUAUCGUUCAUGGUGCAGUAGCUGUUGAGACCGCAGAAAGACUUCACUUCGCACUGACUUUUUGGUGCAUAAUGCAUAAGAGAUGUAGUGUAGGCACCAUUGCUGUCGAAGUUAUGAGAAUACAAUCGAAAAAUUCCAUCGUACUCCAAUGUUGCACGGUAGAUAGUUGAGCUGUUUUCCGAUUCUGAACCAGAGGAAAACACAGGUGUGCCACUUGCCAAGGUGUUGUUAAGGAUUAGCAGUUGCCCGGUAUAAUUCAAGUACAGAUGGGUACCGGAAGCAAAAGUGGCAGUGUUCCAAUAAGCAUCUACUGAAGUGUCUAUAGUGUCUAUGGGAUACAAAACAAGAUUCCCAUCAGAUUGCAUUUUAAGAUGAAACCUUCCUGUUGAAAAAUUGGUUGUAGAUGCACUGGAAAGCAGUUCACCCCCUGCAUAUAGAUUCUGGCCUCCUAAUAUUGUAUCUGUAGGAAAGUUGAAACUCUACCAAAUGACCUCAGAAUGUUCAUUGUAGAGCACUAGAUUUCCAGAAUCAAGCAUGCGAGCGUUUGAAGCUGACUUCUCUAUCCUAGCAACGAGUUUCUCUUCACCGGCCUCAUUGUUGGCAGAAUAAGUUCUUAAAAGAAGCUUACCGUUUACGGUCAACUCCAACGUAGCAUUUGAUGGCACAGGAGGGUCAUCUCGGUAUGCUGUCCAGGUGAUUAUAUCAGCUGGCUUACACACCAACCAAAUUCCCACUAUAAAGCCACUGCCCUGUGGGUAGAACCCAAAGGCAAAUGUGCCAGAAGGGGAGCGCCAUGAAGUUGGUUGGACGUUGGUGGAGAUUGAAGAACCUAAACUUAUCAAGGUCGAGUGGUUCUGCUGGGAACUUGCAGGUUUGUAAAUACAAAUAACUAAAAAUAAGAAAGCUGCAUAAGCGAAAGCCAUGAGACGAAGUAUGGAAGAUAGAUGAUACUGUUGUCCUUGUCACUUCUCACGAGUCUCGAAUGACUGUAAAUUACAACAAGGAAAAUGCUAAAGCUAGCACAACCCAAAGGCAAACGGCUGGUUUUUUUUUAUAGCUUUCGGAUAUUAAAAACAUUAUUUUAAUAUAUUUUCAAGUAAAAAAUAUGUUUGAAAAACACCUUAAAUCACAAUACUAGACACACCCAGUCUUUCUAUGGGGACAUUUCCACGCUGUAUUCCAGUAAAAAUAAAGACAUUAUAAGAAGAAUCAUUUUUCCUUGCAAGGUACGUAAAAGACAUAAUUUCUUCACCUGUGAUGUAAGAAGAAGAGGUUGCACAUAUGACUUUAAUUACUGCAGAAAGAUUUUCAACACAAAAGAGAUAAGGAUAAUUGAAUUAAGCAAGACUGAUUGAAAGCGGUUGAGAAAAUUGUCUAUGUUCUCUAUUUCCUCCACUAAUGGUAUAACAGAAAACUGACUUGUGUUGAAGCAAACAACACGGCUUAUUGACAAAAUCAAAAACCUGUCCCUUUCUGACAUGUAUGGUCUCAAAAAAAGUCUUUUAUAUAGUUGAUUUUCUAGUAUUGUUUGUCUAGCAAUAGUGUUUGAUGACUCUCUGCCUUGCAUGUAGCCCAUGCCAAUAACUUAAGCCACGCAGUUUUCUUUCUCUUCUGCCUAGUGAGAGAUGUAAUUUGAGAACAUACAUAUCAUCAGGAUAGUUCCUGCUAAGAGGAAGCCACUGAGAGCUCUUACAAGGUUUUAUUUACAACUUGCUUAACUGGUAAUAAGGUGAAAAAAAGAAGAAGAUUAAAUCGAGAAAACUGGAAAAAAAAAUAACUGAAAAAACUGAACCAUGAAAAAAAAACAAUUAAACCGAUUAAAAUAUUUUAAAAAAUAUUCAGUUUGGUUUAAGCAUUAAACUGAAAAACCUCAAAUGAACCAAACUAGUUUAGUUAAAAAUAAACUGAACAAAACUGAAAAAUUAAAAAAACCGAAUCAAACCGAAACUGAAACUCAUUAGAAAGUCCAAAAAAAAACCCCAAAAAAUAAUAUAGUUUUGGUUUAAAUAUAAAAUAACCGAACCAAAAUAGAAUCGAACUAAAACAAACCGAACAAAACUGAAACUAAUCAGUUGGGUUUUGAUUUUUGAUAUAAAAUAAUCGAACUGAAACCGAUUGGUUGGAAUAGGUUUCAGUUUUGUUUUUGUAUUUUAUAAAAUUUUAAUUUGGUUGUUUCCCUUCUUCUAGUUAAGUUGAAGAUAGCCAAGUAACUGUUAGCCAGUAAUGUCCCCUGACCUAGUCUUCAGGAAGAUUGGUUGCUAAUGUAAUUAGGAGUCUUGGUUUUGAAUUUGAAUUAGUUUUAUCUUCUGUUUCGGUUUGUUAGUUCUCCUUCUAUGAAGGAGUUUAUCCUGCGUUUUUGUUAUUCAAAGAGUUGUAUAAAUAACUCAAUUGGGUUAAUAAUAUUACAUAAUUCCAAAUCAUUCUUAUUGUUAAUAUGGUAUCAGAGCUUUCUUAAUUUGUUUUUGCUCUUUUAUCAUCAUGAUUGAUCCCGACACCACUAGACAAAAUAUAGCCGGCCUACACAACUUGGUGACCAUCAAUAUCACGACACAAGCUCCUCUCAAGCUCAUAAGCUCCAACUAUCUAUCAUGGAAAGUUGCAAUUCCAGACACUUUUUAUUGGUUAUGAUCUCCAAGGUUUCGUUGAUGGAAUGAAACCUUGUCCACCACAACAUCUCAUCACCGAUGACUCAAACACUCCUAAUCCUGAGUAUUAUGCAUGGGUACGUCAAGAUCAACUAAUACUCAAUGCUCUCAUUGGAUUGAUUCACCACACCAUUAUUCCAUUUAUUGCUUGAGCAACUACUUCCCAGGAAGCUUGGAAGAUUUUAGCAUCCACAUAUGCCACCCCCUCCAGAGGCCACUUCAAGCAAGUCAAGGCCAGCUUCAAAGCCCUCACUAAAGGCUCUCUUAACAUCUUGGAUUUCAUUCACUCUCUUAAAGCACGGGUUGAUGAAUUAGCAAUGCUUGACGCCCCUAGAAUUUUUUUUGGAAGAAUUGGGAGAUGACUACAAAGAACUUAUGUGUGUCUUACAAGCCCACGACACUUCAAUAACCUUUGACGAACUUCAUGAGAAAUUACUCAUGUUUGAAGCUUCUUUACAUGCCUUAACCAAAGCCCCCUUGCAAUUCUCACCUACGACCAAUGAAGCCACUGGUCGUCUCGAAUAUCGAUCUCAAGCCUCAACUUUGAGUCGAUCUCACCCUCCUACCUCACCACAAUGGGGCACGUCCUACCAAGGUCCUUCAAGGCUGCAAGGACCAGUUAACAAUCAGGGACUCCACAACCAACAUCUUGGCCCUCGUCCUUACCUAGGAUAUUGCCAGGUUUGUGGACACCAAGGGAACACUGCAAAAAGAUGCCCCCCUUUCAAAUUUGUGCCUCAAGAGACAGAUUUUCCCAAGGCCAAUAAGAAUCCCAACUCGUGGCAGCCAUAGGCUCAUCUUGGUGCAAGCAACAGUCCUAACACUCCUUCGUGGCUGCUAGAUAAUGGUGCUUCUGACCACAUCACAGCUAAUCUAAACAACCUAUCUCUUCACACUCCAUACACUGGCUCGGACGAUGUUAUGAUUCGUGAUGGUUCAAGCUGGCGCAUUACACAUACAGGCUCCACAACUCUACAAACCUUCUCAAAUCUUUUUAAUCUCAGGAAUAUUCUUUGUGUUCUUGAAAUUAAAAAGAGUCUCAUACUUCGAUUGAAAUAAUUUUUUCUGAUGUAUGAACUGUUCCUCUGUACUCAAUUGAUGGCUUUAAAUAUUAUGUUAUUUUGUGGAUCAUUUUACAAGAUAUGCAUGGUUCUAUCAUUUAAAACAUAAAUCUAAUGUAAAACUUACAUUCAUAUGCUUUAAAGCCAUUGUUGAAAAUCAUUUCAAACAAAAAAUCAUAACUUUAUAUUCGGAUAAUGGAGGUGAAUUUGAAGCUAUCAAAGAUAUUUUCAGUUAGAUAGCAUUUAUCAUCGUACUUCCCCACCACACAAACCUGAACACAAUGGUUUCUCUAAGUGCAAGCACAGACACAUAGUGGAUACAAGUCUUUCUCUUCCCACUCAUGCAUCUUUACCCCAAAAUUUUAUUUAAAAUUGAUUUUUUUAUGUUAAUUUAUUAUUUAAAAGUAGUUUCUAAGAUUUGAUUUGUUUUUAAUAGAUGGGAGAUUAUUAAGUAAUAUACUAAAACGCGUAGCUUUUUUACUGUAGCUAAUUUUUUUUUUUUUGCAUUUUUUUUCAUUUUUUCUUCUGUGCCAUUUUUUUUUCUGUAGUAAUUUUUCCUUUUUUGUUUUUUUUUAACGCGUGGGUUUUUCACUGUAGCAGCUUUGUUUUUUUUUUUCCUCGCUUUUGUUUCUUCUGUUUUUUACAUAUAAUGUAUCAUUUGUGCAUACAGUGAAACACUUGACUUUUUCUUCUUUUUUUUUUCUUUCGUUUUGCCCAUGGUUUUUUUUUCUUUUUUCUUUGUGUUUUUUUUUUACUUUUAAUGAAAUUUGUUUUUGUUUAAUUUAGUUUGUUAAUGUGAAAUUUUUUUUUUAAUUUAGUUAUUAUACUUUCAUUACACAGAUCUCGGUUUUUUUUUUAUAUAUUAAGCUGGUUGAGAACUUAGCUUUGUAGCUUUUUUUAAAAAGAAAAAAAAAACACCAUGGAUUACUACAGUGUUUACCUUACAUGAUUUUUGUUUGGCUGCAAUGUUUCCCCCACAUGUUUAUUUUUUAAAUUAUCUUUGUUAAAUUUAUUUUUUUAAUUUUGAGUUGGUUAAGAAUUUAGCUUUAGCUUUCCCCACGUUUUUUCAUUAUAAUUAUUAUUAUAUUGUAUUAUAUUAUAUGACUAUUUUUUCUUUUGUUUUUUGUUUUUAAUUUUUUUUAAUGAAUUGUUUUUGUUUGAUUUAGUUUGUUAAUGUUAAUUUUUUUUAUUUAGUUAUCAUAUUUUCAUGAUACGAAUCUCGAGUUUGAUGGGUUAACUUGAUUUGACGAGUUAUUUUUUUCAUUUAGUUUAGUUUGUUAAAGUUAAUUUUUUUUCUAUUUAAUUAUCAGACUUUCAUGACACGUAUCCUGGGCUUGACGGGUUAACUUGGUUUGAUGGGUUAACCCGGUUAAUUCUGGGUAAACCCGUCAUUUUUUUUUUCUAUUUAGUUAUCAAACUUUCAUGAUGCAAAUCCCAGGUUUUAUGGGAUAACCUGGUUUAAAGGGUUAACCCAAUUAAUUCAAUUUCUUUUUCUUUUUCUUCAUUAGUUUUUUCCUUUCUGUUGAUUUUUUUUCUUUAUUUGUUUUUAAUUAAUCUAUUUAAUUAUCACACUUUUAUGACACGACCUUAUAGCCAAACCCACAUCCAAUAUUCUUGGGUCCGGUGUUACAGUCAGACUCACUUAAACUUGGGUAAUGCAAGUUUAAUUUUAUUAUUAAUAUUAUAAAUAUUACUCUUAGGUCAGGCGUUGCAACCAAACCCAAGAUUCCUGGGUAUAACUUUGCAGAAAAACCCAAGAUUUUUAAAUUUUUAUUUUUUAAAAUAUUUUUUAUACAAAAAAAUAACCCGCGGCAUCGCGCGGGUAUCAAAGCUAGUAGUAACUAUAGACUGUCAUCAUACGAUUCAAACUCUAUCCCCACAACAGGUGGUGGAUAAUGCUUCCUUUGGGAGUCACUAUUCUGAAACACCUUCUACUGUAGCAUCAGCUCUGUUGUUUUCAAGGACAUGGUGUUCAAUAUCAAACGGUUUGUUCGCAGUUGUCCUCAAGAUCGUUGCCUUCAGACAGCUGCAGUAAGGUUGAUUAUCGUUCAUGGUGCAGUAGCUGCUGAGACCGCAGAAAGACUUCACUUCGCACUGACUUUUUGGUGCAUAAUGCAUAAGAGAUGUAGUGUAGGCACCAUUGCUGUCGAAGUUAUGAGAAUACAAUCGAAAAAUUCCAUCGUACUCCAAUGUUGCACGGUAGAUAGUUGAGCUGUUUUCCGAUUCUGAACAGAGGAAAACACACAGGUGUGCCACUGGCCAAGGUGUUGUUAAGGAUUAGCAGUUGCCCGGUAUAAUUCAAGUACAGAUGGGUACCGGAAGCAAAAGUGGCAGUGUUCCAAUAAGCAUCUACUGAAGUGUCUAUAGUGUCUAUGGGAUACAAAACAAGAUUCCCAUCAGAUUGCAUUUUAAGAUGAAACCUUCCUGUUGAAAAAUUGGUUGUAGAUGCACUGGAAAGCAGUUCACCCCCUGCAUAUAGAUUCUGGCCUCCUAAUAUUAUAUCUGUAGGAAAGUUGAAACUCUCCCAAAUGACAUCAGAAUGUUCAUUGUAGAGCACUAGAUUUCCAGAAUCAAGCAUGCGAACGUUUGAAGCUGACUUCUCUAUCUUAGCAAUGAGUUUCUCUUCACCGGCCUCAUUGUUGGCAGAAUAAGUUCUUAAAAGAAGCUUACCGUUUACGGUCAACUCCAACGUAGCAUUUGAUGGCACAGGAGGGUCAUCUCGGUAUGCUGUCCAGGUGAUUAUAUCAGCUGGCUUACACACCAACCAAAUUCCCACUAUAAAGCCACUGCCCUGUGGGUAGAACCCAAAGGCAAAUGUGCCAGAAGGGGAGCGCCAUGAAGUUGGUUGGACGUUGGUGGAGAUUGAAGAACCUAAACUUAUCAAGGUCUUUUAUAUAGUUGAUUUUGCAGUAUUGUUUGUCUAGCAAUAGUGUUUGAUGACUCUGUGCCUUGCAUGAUGGCCCGUGCCAUUAACUUAAGCCACGCAGUUUUCUUUCUCUUCUGCCUAGUGAGAGAUGUAAUUUGAGAACAUACAUAUCAGCAGGAUAGUUCCAGGUAAGAGGAAGCCACUGAGAGCUCUUACAAGGUUUUAUUUACAAAUUGCUUAACCGGUAAUACGGUGGAAAAAAAAAAGAGAAAACUGGAAAAAAAAAAUUAAGAAAACUGAACCAUGAAAAAAAAUGAUUAAAUCGAUUAAAAUAUUUUAAAAAAUAUUCGGUUUGGUUUAGUUUUAUAAGCCUGAAACUGAAAAACCUAAAAUGAACCAAACCAGUUUAGUUAAAUAAACCGAACAAAACUGAAAAAUAAAAAAAAUCGAAUCAAAUUGAAACUGAAACUCAUUAGAAAGUCCAAAAAAACCCCCAAAAAAUAAUAUAUUUUUGGUUUAAAUAUAAAAUAACCGAACCAAAAUAGAAUCGAACCAAAACAAACCGAACAAAACUGAAACUGAUCAGUUGGGUUUUGAUUUUUAAUAUAAAAUAACCGAACCAAAACCGGUUGGUUGGAACAUGUUUCAGUUUAUAAAAUUUUAAUUUGGUUGUUUCCCUUCUUCUAGUUAAGUUGAAAAUAACCAAAUAACUGUUUGCCAGCAAUGUCCACUGUCACGACCCGAUUUCCAAAUCCAUGACCGGCACAUAGGCAAGGUUCCUCUCCAAGGUUCCAUACCUAUGCGAACCCAAACUUACAUACAAUUCUAUCUUUUAAACAACUCAAUUAGAGUUCAACGCAGCAUUAACAACAAACUAACUUCAUAAUAUAAUUUAAUUGUCUUAAUACAAGAGUUAAUAUAAUUCCUAGUAUUGGAGCACUAACUUGACAUAAAAGGAAGGUAAAAAUUAUAACCAAAAAGCAGGUUCAGAAGGUUCAACAAAAGUAACCUGCUAUCAAGCUAUAAGCCUGAAAAGAAUAAUAAUGAGAGGGGGAGUUCAACAACUCAGUGAGUAGAUAAUAUAUUCAAUAUACACACAUAAGGUAAUAUAACAAUGAGAAUUGUAUACAAUUAUGGCUCUAGGUUCUUAUAUGAAGGUUUCUCAAAUAGGUCAUAACAAGAAGAUCAAAAUGGUAAAGCUCAUCAGAAAAUCAAAAUGCAAUGAGCAUGAGGCUCCGUACUGUGGGAUGAUCAGUCCACACAGGUUGGUGACUCCCCCGACCAACUAGGGUUCAGAUACGAUGUGCACAAAGACUAACACUACACUGUUAGCAUGGGUAUUCUGACUGACAUACCAUAGGUUCAUAAUCAUAAUCAAACAAACAUAUUCAUAUCUCAAAGCUCAACUCAUGACAUCAAUCAAAUGAGGAGCUAUCAAUUCAGAAGUCAAUUCAAAAUAUAUAUUGGUUCAUAUCAAGAAUUCAGAUUCAAUAUUUGAUCAAGCUUUUAUCAUAAGGAUAAUAAUCAACAUAUAUAUUAUCAAGAAGCAUGAUCCAAUUCAUAUUAACAAAUCAAAUAUUUAUAAUAUUUCUCAUGCAUAUGGAAAAUUAUCCACUCACCUGACUCAAUGCAGACACCGAAGAAAAUCCUACUGACGUCCUGCCGGUAGAAUAUCAGGAUUAUCUGAAAACAAAGGAGACAUAUUCAAGAACGACUCAAAAUAACAUUUAACCCAUUUAAUACACUUAACUAAGUGUGUAUUCCGUAACCCUAUAUGUUUUUGAACUAACAAGUCAAUUUUCUCAAAAACCCAAAACUUAACGGUUUCCCGAAAUCUAAUCCAUAAUAAAACAACUAAUAAAAAUUGGUAAUAAUUCACUAAGUAACCCUUAAUUAUUCAUCAAACUAAUCUGAAAAAGCUAACAUUACAGCUAGGGACUAAUCUGGAAUUUACCAAAUUUUUAGAGUCAAAUUGGAGGACCAAAUUGAAAGUGUUAAAUUCUCUUAUUUAUACAGUAAUUUUGUCCAUAAUUCAUAUGUUAUUCUGUUUAGAAUCUCGGAAUAUGCUCCAGGGAUCAAUUUGUAAUUUUCCAAAGUUUGGGGACUAAACUGUAAUUUUGAAAAUUAAGGGACCAAAUUGAAUUUUCAUCAUCUUCAACCUCCAAUCCAGAAUUUUAACAGAAACCUACUGUUCUCUCCUGAUUUUUAACUCAAAAUUCACCAUUCAAACAAAACUAUAACUCAAAAUCAUCACAAUCUUUCAUAAUCAACUAAAUCAUCAAUUAACCACAACAAUCAACCCCUAACAUUCAAUUUAAUUCAUCAAUUAAACUCAAAACACAAAUUUCAUAACCCUAACAUUUAUCAAAAUCAAAAUUAAAGCUUAAUUAACACAUAUUUAUACAUAAUCUUACCUUUUUACUUAUUUCCUCCAACUCCUUUCUAUUUCCUUUCUAAUUUUUCCUCUUUUCUCUUCUUUUUCUUUCUCCAUUCUCUCUCUUGCCGAUUCUCUCUCAAAUUUUUAGAUCCCUCUUUUGUUUUUUUUUUCUAUUUAUAUUUAUCAUGUUUAUCUAAUUACCACACUACCCCUCAUUCAUUUAUAUCCACACUUUAAGCCUUCAAGGGCUUUAUUGUAUUUUCCAAUUCAUUAAUUCAAAACGUUACAUCCACUGACCUAGUCUUCAGGAAGACCGAUUGCAUUGUAGUUAGGAGUCUUGGUUUUGAAUUUGAAUUAGUUUUAUCUUCUGUUUUGGUUUGUUAGUUGUCUUUCUAUGAAGGAGUUUAUCUUGCAUUUUUGAUAUUCAAAGAGUUGUAUAAAUAACUCAACUGGGUUAAUAAUAAUACAUAAUUCCAAAUCAUUCUUAUUGUUAACAUGGUGUCAGAGCUUUCUUAAUUUUUUUUCUACUCUUUUAUCAUCAUGAUUGAUCCCGACACCACCAGACAAAAUAUAGUCGGCCUAAACAACCUGGUGACCAUCAAUAUCACGACACAAGCUCCUCCCAAGCUCACAAGCUCCAACUAUUUGUCAUGGAAAGCUGCAAUUCCAGACACUUUGUAUUGGCUAUGAUCUCCAAGGGUUCAUUGAUGGAAUGAAACCUUGUCCACCACAACAUCUCAUCACCGAUGACUCAAACACUCGUAAUCCUGAAAACUAUGCAUGGGUACAUCAAGAUCAACUAAUACUCAAUGCUCUCAUUGGAUUGAUUCACCACACCAUUAUUCCAUUUAUUGCUCAAGCAACUACUUCCCAGGAAGCUUGGAAGAUUUUAGCAUCCACAUAUGCCACCCCCUCCAGAGGCCACAUCAAGCAAGUCAAGGCCAGCUUCAAAGCCCUCACUAAAGGCUCUUUUAACAUCUUGGAUUUCAUUCACUUUGUUAAAGCACGAGUUAAUGAAUUAGCAAUGCUUGGCACCCCUAGAAAUUUUUUUGGAAGAAUUGGGAGAUGACUACAAAGAACUUGUGUGUGUCGUACAAACCCGCGACACUUCAAUAACCUUUGACGAACGUCAUGAGAAAUUACUCAUGUUUGAAGCUUCUUUACAUGCCUUAACCAAAGCCCCCUUGCAAUUCUCACCUACAGCCAAUGAAGCCACUGGUCGUCUCGAAUAUCGAUCUCAGACCUCUUGAGUCGAUCCACCCUCUUACCUCACCACAAUAGGGCACGUCCUACCAAGGUCCUUUAAGGCUGCAAGGACCAGUUAACAAUCAGGGACUUCAAAACCAACGUCGGCCCUCCUCCUUACUUAGGAAACUGCCAGGUUUGUGGACUUCAAGGACACAUUGCAAAAAGAUGCCCCUCCUUCAAAUUUGUGCCUCAAGAGACAGAUUUUCCCAAGGCCAACAACAAUCCCAACUCGUGGCAGCAACAGGCUCAUUUUGCCGCAAGUAACAGUCCCAACACUCAUUCGUGGUUGCUGGAUAAUGGUGCUUCUGACCACAUCACAUCUAAUCUAAACAACCUAUCUCUUAACACUCCAUAUACUAGCUCAGACGAUGUUAUGAUUGGUGAUGGUUCAAGCUUGCGCAUCACACAUACAGACUCCACAACUCUACAAACCUUCUCAAAUUUUUUUAAUCCCAGGAAUAUUCUUUGUGUUCCUGAAAUUAAAAAGAAUCUUAUUUCUAUUUAUUAGUUUUGUGUAACAAACAAUGUUUCCAUUGAAUUCUUACCCUGGUGUUUUCUUGUUAAUGAUCUGUUAACUAGAGUGAUUCAAGCUCAAGAUGAGAGAAAAUGUGGCAUCUAUGAAUGGUCGGGGUUCAGUCUAACAUCUUCUCCAAUUGCCUUUUCCAAUUUAAAGAUUGCACUAAUAUAUUGCCAUUUUAGAUUAGGUCACCCAUCGUCACCUAUUCUAAAUAUUAUCCUUUCCAAAAAUAAGCUAGAGAUCUCUUAUUUGGCAAAAUAUUUUUCAUGCAAUGCAUGUCAAUUAACAAGAGUCGCAAACUUCCCUUCUCUGUGUUUUCCUUAGAGUCUCAUACUCCUAUUGAAAUAAUUUUUUUCUAAUGUAUGGACUAUUCCUCUGUACUCAAUUGAUGGCUUUAAAUAUUAUAUUAUUUUUGUGGAUCAUUUUACAAGAUAUACAUGGUUCUAUCAUUUAAAACAUAAAUCUGAUGUAAAACUUACAUUCAUACGCUUUAAAGUCAUUAUUGAAAAUCAUUUCAAACAAAAAAUCAUAACUUUAUAUUCGAGUAAUGGAGGUGAAUUUUUGAGCCUCUCAAAGAUUUUUUUAGUUAUAUGGCAUCUCUCAUCAUACUUUCCCACCACACAAACCUGAACACAACGGUAUCUCUGAGCGCAAGCACAGACACAUAGUGGAGACAAGUCUUUCUCUUAUUACUCAUGCAUCUUUACCCCAAAAUUUUAUUUAAAAUUGAUUAUUUUAUGUUAAUUUAUUAUUUAAAAGUAGUUUUUAAGAUUUGAUUUGUUUUUAAUAGAUGGGAGAUUAUAUAUAUAUGCUGAUGGAAAACAAACCCUUAAUUGUAUUAGGGUCUUGAACUCAUAGAAAUCCAAUGAAAUAUAUAGGCUGCGUAAAAACAGUCCAUUUGUUCCAUAGGCUUACUGCACCCGAGCUUCCAAGCCUAAGCUUUCCUAGAUAGGAUGCAGCCUAUGUCUCAUCCAAAGCCCAAGCUAGCUAGGGGAUGGUUUCAGCCCAUGUAAUUAUUUUUUUUAAUAUAAAAAAUAAUUUUUAAAAAAUCAAAAAUAUUAUUUUAAUAUAUUUUUAAAUAAAAUAUAUUUUAAAAAAUAAUUUCUACCACACUUUCAAAAUAUAAUUCACACACACACACACACAUAUAUAUAUAUAUAUAUAUAUAUGAAAAAGUAAAGGGCAGUUUUAUAUUUUUUUUCAAAUUAUAAAAUUGAGAAUUUAGUAUGUUUUUUAAACUUUUUGAAGUCUUUUUUAGCUCUAAAUUAUUUUAAAAAUAUGAAUUUAGUAUUUAUUCGUGCACUUUUGUUUUGCUCAUCAAACCUUUUUGAUAAUAUUUAUUUGUCUUGUUGGAUCAUGUUUUUAAAAUUUUUUGAAGGUUUUUUAAUUUAAAAUUAGUUUUUUAGAUUAUUUUGAUACAUUGAUAUAAAAAAAAUAAAAAUAAUUAUUUUAAUAUAUUUUAAAAUAAAAAAACAUUUUAAAAAAUAAUAUUUCUUAUAUUUAAAGCUUUAAAUUUCUUUUUUUACCGUCUCUUUGAACAUAUUUUUGGUAGUUCACAUGUCAAAUUAAAAGCAGAAACAGAUAAAAAGGCCUUACAAAUCACUUCAAAUCCACGACCAUUUAACACACAAAUACAUGGUUACAUAUCACGUAUAGAAUUAUGCAUAAAACAUGAGGCAAAUUAUUUGGAGACUAAGCGGUGCUGCGGAAUGGAGCUAUAGCUGGUGGAGUUGGAAUGUCACCGGACCCUUCAAGCAUCAAGAUCACAUUCUUGAUACAAGGACGUGAAGCUGGAUCAUGUUGAACGCACAGCAGUCCAAUCUUCACCAUUCUUUCCAGUGACUCGAAUUCUAUAUCUUCAUCCUUCACAAGCUUAUCCAACUGUCCAGCUGCAAAGCAUUGAUAUGCCCAACUGGGAAGAUUCAUUUCAUCUGGUGUUGAGACGUCUACUUUUAUACUGCUUCUGCAACAGAUGAUCUCCAGAAGUACAACUCCGAAGCUGUAGAUAUCAGCUUUUACCGACAUCAAGGCGUUAUUCUGCCAUUCAGGUGCCAUGUGCCCUCUACUCUGUGAGAGUGCCAUCGAGCUUCUUAUUUCUUCUGGAUAUAAUAGCUUUGAUAAUCCGAAAUCGGAGAUUUUGGCCAUCCAAGAAUCAUCCAUGAGAAUGUUUUGAGGGGUUAUAUUGCAAUGGAUGAUGCAGGCUUGACACUCUUCAUGUAGAUAGAGUAUUCCUCGAGCUAUAUCGAGCAAUCCUCACUCUUUCUUUCCAAAUGGGGCGCCUCUCAGACUGGAAUAAAAGAUCGGCAAGGGUGCCGUUUCUCAAGUACUCGUAGACGAGAACCCUCCGAGAGCCCUCCACACAAAAACCAAGCAACCGAACCAAGUUUCUGUGAUAAGUUUGUCCAAUCACAGUGAUUUCUGCUCGAACUUUUUUUCCCCUUCAUCUAAAACUUUCUCAAGUCUCUUAACAGCAACAGUUCUGUCACCCCCAGGCAUUGUCCCUCUGUAAACUGCACCAAUAGAACCCCUGCCCAGCUCUUCCAUGAAACCACCUGUAGCUUUCUCAAGCUCACUAUAAGAAAAUGACCGCAGAGUGAACUCUCCAGCCAAGCUUAUGAUUCCUGACAGCGUUUCGUAAAGAUAAGCUCGAUCCCUGUACACGCAGAAAGUAGAGAUUGCAAUGACAAAACACAAGAAAGUAACAGAGCCAAAUGCUAUAGCAAGAAACACAAGUAAACUUUUCCUGCUUUCUAUGAUGAUUGUCGGGCUCAUUGGAGGUGCAGGAGGAGAUGCUGCUUUCACUUUGAAGAAGGCUAUAGAUGAUGCGUUUCUAUCUUUUAAACCAUAUCGAAUUGGUGCAGUAUACUUUUCACACCUCUCAUUCAUAUAUAGAGCAACAUCACAGAGACAAUCUUCCAGGCAACACAAAACACAAUUUUCCUUCUUCACAUGUAGGACAGAAUAAGGAUAUCGCUCGAACAAUAUAUUCUCUACGGCUUUGACAUCGUACAUUUUCCCUUCUUUGGUGCCUCUGCAAAAACUUUCAGUGACAUUCUUGUAGCAUCCACUGAAUUUCUCACUGGGGUCAUUGAAAGCAAAUCCAGGAUAACAGGAACAGUCAGCAUUAGUGCCCACGCCAGAGCAAUAACUGUUGAAACCACAGAAGCCACGAACAUUGCAUUGAUUAUUCAAAGCAGACCACUCAAUAUGCACACUCCGGCUAGUUUUGUUCUCUAAGCAGUGUGAAUAAAACCUGAAAAUCCCAUCAGCAUCAAGCGUCGCACGAAAGAUUGUUGUUUUGUUGUUACAGGGAUAAGAACUUCUUGCCAACAAGACUGGUUUUUUAGAGACCGUAUCCAUGAACAGAAAUCCCUGGUGAUUGAAAUAGAGACUCAAUCCCUGGUGAUUGAAAUAGAAACUCAAAUCCCGGUAUUUUUUAUAAAUCCCUUCCCAGUAAGCAUCAAAAGAUAGACCAGCGUAGGCGACAAGGUUUCCAUCUUCCUGCAUCGCGAGGAGAAACCUUCCACUGGAGUGAUUUGAGCUCGACACACUUGAAACCAAUGGAUCAGGAUAAGUAAGAUUCUGACCUACUAAUAUGGUGUCAGUUGGGUAACCAAAGCUUUGCCAAAUAACAGAAGAACCAUUGUAAAGCACGAAAUUACCAGAAUCGAGCAUUGAAGCUGAAGUUGCGACUUCUGAAAAAUCAGCAAUAAGACUUCCGUUGCCCUGCUCAGUCCGAAGAAGGAGCUUACCCUCUUCUGAUAAGUGAAUGGUAGCAUUGAUGGAGACUGGUUCAUCAUCUCGAUUUGCAGUCCAGACGACCGUGUUAUUAGGCUGACCCAUCAUCCAUAUUCCUACAGCAAAUCCAUUUCCCUGUGAAUAGAAGCCAAACGCAAAAUGGCCUGAAGGGGAGAGCCAUGAAUGCAUGUUAGAGAUGGGAGAUAACUGAGAACCCAAGUGUAUUUCACCAAUUUGGUUCGGUUGAGUUCUUGCUUCCACAAAGAGUAUCGAUAACAUUAGAAGCAGAAGCCCUGAUACCGAAGCCAUGCCAAACAGAUGCAGAAAAGCUAGCUAUUGUUGAGACUAUACUGGCUAAAUGUUAAUGUGAUGAAAAUUCUAGCAAACUUCAAAACUAAAACCGUGUGAAAUGAAAGAUUUGUUCACUAUUGGGACGUCUGCAACUUUUCUUAUAGUGGCCUAGUGUGGUCCACAAAAGUCUACAAAACGUGUUAGACCAGUUGGCUGAGAGAAGUCAUCAUCUUCCUUUACUGAUACCCAGAAGCAACCCUCCAAGUCAAGAUAAUAAAGCUUGAAUUGCAGUUUUAUCAUAGUAAAUAUUAUCCCAAUAAAUUUCUCAAGAAAUUUCAUCAGUUGUGCUAGUAUUUAUAUAGUAAAAUUCUUAUAUGCCAUCAAUAUUUUGUAUAGGACUGAGAUUUAUAGUUUACGUUAAUUUUAUUUCUUAACAUUAUUAAUAGGUCAUUUAGCAUUUGGAAAUAUAUAAUGUUUUUUAUAAAAUUUCAGCAAUACAUCGCUUUCUUUUACUUAUCGUAAUUUUCAAUUUACUUAUCGUAAUUUUCAAUUUAUUGCUUUACUUUUUUUUAGUUUAUAGAUUCCUUAGCAUACACACCUUCAUCUCUUAAUCUCUUAAACCAAGUUGAGAAAUUCAUUUGAUUUGUGAGGCUAUUAGAGAUUAAAUUUCCAAGCUUAGUUUCUCCUUGUAGGAAAAAAGAAAGAAAUAACAAGUAACAUAAAAGUAAUAAUAAAAGUAAUUAUUAAUGGAUCAUCCAUCAAUCCAUCAACAACAACAUGCUGUAAUGUUUCAUAGGAGUGGCCAUUAAUAAUUAUUCACGCCAGUUGACAUCACUACCAAAAAAUAUAGUAAUUAUCAACUAAUUAAUCCAUUGCAAAUAAAACUAAAAUCCAUUGUUAAAAAAGUUUAGCAUUGGAAUCAACAACGGAAAGUAUCUAACGCAAAUCUAUCGUUGCUGAUUUUUCAGCAACGAAAAUUCCGUUACUGAAAAAUCAGCAACGGAAAAUCGUUACAAAUAUGCAACGGAUUAUCCGUUACUAAUAUAUUAGCAACAGAUUUUCCAUUGCUGAUUGAUGAAUUAUUUAUAAUCAGCAAUGAAAAAUCCAUUGAUGACUAUAAUAUUUUUAUUAAAUUUAUUUAUUUAUUUUUAUCCAAAUGUCUUUUAAUUUUUUUAAUUAAUUAUUUAUGGAUAUUUUAAAAGUUGUAGAAUAUAUAUAAACAACAUAAAUUAAUAUUGAAAAUGACUUUAUAACCAAUAAUAAAUGGAAUAAAAAUAAAAUUUAUAGUAUAAAAAUUUAGUUAAACUUGCAUUAAUGCAAAUAAAUCGAAAUACAAUAAAAAGAUACAAUCAUGUGCUUACUAUUGAAUUUGGAGAAGACAGAAACAUGUUCUUUACACCACUGCUUCCAUAACUUUUCCUCCCAUGAAAAACAACGAAUGAUUUUUUUGUUAGAACUACUACAACUGUAGGAUACAGAAUUUUAUUAGUUUUCCUGCCCACAAACUUAUGCCGAAGCUGAAGUUGGAUGUGGAGGAACAGAUACAUCGGUAAUUCCUUCUAACAUCAACACAACAGACUUCAUAGAAGGACGGAUACCUGGUUCAUCUUGAAUGCACCACAUGCCCACCAUAACCAUUUUCUCCAAAUUCUGCAAGUCUACAUCUUCGCCAAGAUCAAGCUUGUCCAAUUCUCUUGCAACCAUAAGCUCGUAUGCCCAAUUAGAAAGUAGAACUUCCUCUGGUCUUGAUACAUUAGUUUCUAUAUUUCUCCUGCAGAAAACAAUUUCCAAGAGCAUAACUCCGUAACUGUAAACAUCUGCCUUCACUGAUAUUGGAGUGUUCUUGUGCCAUUCAGGAGCCAAGUAACCUCGUGUCCCUCUGACUAUUGUGAAGGUUCUUGUUUGAUCAGGCACUAGCAACUUUGCUAGCCCAAAAUCAGAGAUCUUAGCAUUCCAAAAAUCAUCCAUUAGAAUGUUUUGAGGCUUUAUAUCGCAAUGGAUGAUUGGUGCCUCACACUCUUCAUGUAGAUAUAGGAUCCCUCUAGCAAUAUCCAAAGCAAUCUUCACCCUGUGACUCCAAUUUGGAAUUCUUUCAGUUCGGAAGAGAAGAUCUGCAAGGGAACCGUUGCUCAUGUAUUCAUAAACUAGUAGCCUCUGGGAGUCCUCAGUACAGUAACCAAGUAGCCG